GCAAACUUGGUCAUUUAGAGGAAGUAAAAGUCGUAACAAGGUUUCCGUAGGUGAACCUGCGGAAGGAUCAUUAGUGAAUAAACUUGUGUGGGUUGUUGCUGACCUCCUCGGAGGUAUGUGCACGCCUGCCAUUGUUUCAUUCUCCUUCCACCUGUGCACUUUUUGUAGACCCAGCUGUCACCUUUUCGGGUUGCUUGCAUCCCGGUUAUGAGGACUUGCUCUGGCUGUCCUUGGAUGGCGGUGGUCUAUGUCUUUUAUCAACUCUGUAUGUAACCGAAUGUUUGUUCUGGGUUCUAUACCCAUAAAAUCUAUACAACUUUCAACAACGGAUCUCUUGGCUCUCGCAUCGAUGAAGAACGCAGC
This 363-nucleotide unclassified non-coding RNA is filed under the name uncultured fungus. Its description in RNAcentral is "partial contains small subunit ribosomal RNA, internal transcribed spacer 1, and 5.8S ribosomal RNA". The stretch from base 1 to 73 matches the Rfam family "Eukaryotic small subunit ribosomal RNA", at positions 1759 to 1831 of the family's 1831-position model. The record is from RNAcentral. Lineage: Eukaryota; Fungi.